This 72-nucleotide transfer RNA is filed under the name Camelus bactrianus (Bactrian camel). It matches the Rfam family "tRNA". From Rfam's summary of the family: Transfer RNA (tRNA) molecules are approximately 80 nucleotides in length. The record is from Rfam by way of RNAcentral. Lineage: Eukaryota; Metazoa; Chordata; Mammalia; Artiodactyla; Camelidae. RNAcentral also lists the same sequence under 1 other name.
GUGGGUAUAGCUCAGUGGAAAGGUGCUUACUUAGCAUGCAUGAGGUCCUGGGUUCAAUCCCCAGUACUUCCA